This is an RNA transcript of Oncorhynchus nerka (sockeye salmon), 3219 nucleotides long. It is a transcript of the gene named COMM domain containing 3, with no coding region annotated. The transcript is spliced from 4 exons. The record is from RefSeq and is a predicted model, not a curated record. Lineage: Eukaryota; Metazoa; Chordata; Actinopteri; Salmoniformes; Salmonidae.
UCUGUUUCAAAAUGGAGUUGUCUGAGUCGGUGCAGAAAGGGCUGCAGUCUCUAGCAGACCCGUCGCUUUUCGACCUGAAGACCUCCUCUGUGUUGAUAUAAUUAACCUUUCGCAGCUCGCUAACCGCCCAUGCCGACCGUAGUGUUCUCGAUCAACCUGAAUUCAUCUGCCACCACCUGCAUACUGGAGGGGGUCAAACAAAACGUGGACAAAUCCACUCUUGUGCCUGGAGGAUGUUAGGUUUGAUGCGGAGAGAAUAUAUGUAUUCUACAUCACAUACCAGGUGAUGACUACCUUAUUAUUUUUUAUAACAUCUUAAUUACCUUAUUGCAAAGAAAUGCAAAUCCAUACCAGAUCUCAACCCCAAACGGACUCUUUUUUUUUCUUCCAGAAAUAUAAAAGUGAUGUGGAAAUUCUAUUGUCAGGGUAACUUUUUCUGAUGUUUUCAUUUCCAGUCAGCCUAUUUGAAAUGCCAUAAUUCAUGACUAUGGGGUUAUUGUGGCUAAAGUGUUGACUGGACAAAUAUACUUGAUUUUAAAGUAUUAGAUUUAAAUAUAAAACACUACAUUGUCUGUUUGUACAGAGAUAGUAGUUUGUAAACUGUGGGAACAUAGUCACAUCCUAACUAACACAUGCCAACAAUGCAGACACAAACAAGACCUUAUCGGAGCCUUACAUUUUUGUUAUGGGUUCUCUAUAUGGCUCAUGGAACAUCACGUUGACCAUGCAGUUUACACUUCAUUAACAUCUGAAGAUCUACAAAUGUUAUAAAUCCACGCUAUUGAACUUUUCCAGUCAUAUUAUAUAUCUUCCCCAAUACACAUAUCCAUCCCCAUUGAAACAUCAAGGGCAGUCUAAAAAAAAUGUGAACAAUAAAACAAUAUAGGGGGUUUUCAUUAUAUAUAUAUAUAAUUAAAGUUUGUUUGAAGUUGGGUAAUAACAGUUUUAUGGUUUUUAUUUCAAAUGUAUUGAACAGUUACAUUUUAAAUGAACCACCAAUUUUUGUUUGAAAGCUUUGUGUGUCAUCAGGAAAUAUAGAUGAGUCAAUUUAAUAAUCUUGCUUUGCAUUAUUUGCAGUUAUUUGACAGAUUUAGUUCACUGAACAAAAAUAUAAACGCAACAUGUAAAGUGUUGGUCUCAUGUUUCAUGAGCUGAAAUAAAAGAUCCCAGACAUUUUCCAUAUGCACACAAAGCUUUUCUCACAAAUGUUGUGCACAAAUUAGUUUACAAUAAAGGGCCACUCUAAAAUGUGCAGUUUUGUCACACAACACAAUGCCACAGAUGUCUCAAUUUUGAGGGAGUGUGCAAUUGACAUGCUGACUGCAGGAAGGGCCACCAGAGCUGUUGCCAGAUUAUUGAAUGUUAAUUUUUCUACCAUAAGCCGCCUCCAACAUUUUAGAGAAUUUGACAGUACAUCCAACUGGCCUCACAAUCAUGGACCACGUGUAUGCUGUUGUGUGGGGAGAGAGGUUUGCUGAUGUCAAUGCUGUGAACCGAGUGCCCCAUGGUUGGGUAAUGGUAUGGGCACUACUGACAACGAACACAAUUGUAUUUUAUCAAUGGCAAUUUUUUUGAACGGUAUAUGUGACCAACAGAGGCAUGUCUGUAUUCCCAGUCAUGUGAAAUCAUAGAUUAGGGCCGAAUGAAUUUAUUUCAAUUUACUGAUUCACUCAUAUGAACUUUAAUUCAGUAAAAUCUUAGAAAUUAUUGCAUGUUGCUUUUAUAUUUUUGUCCUAUGUGUGUGUAUAUUAUUUAGCAGAUGCUUUUAUCCAAAAUCACUUAGUCAUGCGUGCAUAAAUUGUACAUUUGGGUGAUCCCGGCAAUCAAACCCACUACCCUGGCUUUACAAGCACCAUGCUCAACCAGCUGAGCUACAAAAAGUGUAUAGAAAUGGUCAAUGUGCUUGACAAUAUCUCUUCAAUUGUUUUAUGCUUCACUUUCAUAGAGUGCAGCAGACUAGGGAAUGGACCUAGCCUAACUCGGGUCAAAUUUAUUUGUGACGUGUAACCGUUUUAAGAUUAGUGAAUUAACCUGCAAAUGUGACAUGACAAUUUGUUUCACAAACUUUGAAUCGGUUUAUUUUCUUUGGAGAAAGCGCAGUUCUUUUACGAUGAGCGUUUGUUUGUAGCGCAUUGAUAGUUGCUUUUACAUUGUAAUUAAUCACCACGAUUGCCCCCUUUUGUCUCCCUCCUGACAACCAAGCUUCAGAAUGCUGAAAAGUGUUGCCCUGUUCCCCAUAGGGCUCCAUCCGCGACAAGAUGUUUUGCUGUUUGAUUUUAACACACGUAAUAUGAUCACUUAGCCUAAUAUGUGGAAUGACUCUGGGUUAAACAAACAAAGGUUUUUAAUGCAUAAGGUUAUCGUUGAACAGCCUUUAUAAAUCGGUAUUCAUGAGUUCCUGUAUGCAUGCUUCUUGCCUUGUAAAUAUAUGUGUUUAAUAUAGGCCUAUUGUGUGCAUCUGUAGCCCAUUGGUAAAUCUGUAUUUUGGUUGUCCUUUUAGUAUAGGGAGAUGCCCUCCUCAUAUCAACGACGUGUCAUGGCGCCUGGUGUUAUCAAGAACGGGCAUGUGCAUGAGGUCAACGAGCCGUCCUAUCUGAUUUCAUUAAACGUUGAGGUAUGUCCCUUUCCAGAACCCAAUGAUCUAAACUUGUCAUCAUUACAAACGUAAGCCUAUACUUUUACAGAAUAUCAACAACGGAGGAUCGUCGGAAGAAGUCCUUUUUUUGCUGUACUAUGGAACAACUUCAGGUAGCUAAUGUUUUGUUGCAGCCUAUAUAGAAUGUGGGGUUCACCAUUAGUUGAAUAGGGUAAUUUCACAGAAAGUCUAAUGUUUUACAUGCACUCUUGAACGUGGCAGUUGAUUUAAAUAGAUAGCCUACACUGUAUUUUCCAAAUCGGCAUACUUUACAGAUCUGUAUAUAAUUAUUGGCUAGCUGUUAGGUCCACGUGAAUGAGUACAAAUAAAGUCAUGUUAGUUAUAUUUGAUGUUUGUUAAAUGAUUAUUAAACUUUUUCUUGAAUAGCAUGUCUUUCAACAGUGAUCUGUGUUUUAGAUGUACUUCUGCCACAUUGAGCAGAGAUUAAAACCUGACUUUGCAAAUAGCUCCAGUGUAUUUUAAUCUAUGUGCAGUAAUCUCAUUCAAUAGUGUUCUGCAGACUGUUUCAUUUUUUUUACACAUUUGUUAAACAAUUUUAAAAAAUAAAUUAUCAGAAAAACAGA